This 3028-nucleotide long non-coding RNA is filed under the name Sus scrofa (pig). Its description in RNAcentral is "lncRNA (ENSSSCG00040011444.1)". Lineage: Eukaryota; Metazoa; Chordata; Mammalia; Artiodactyla; Suidae. The record is from RNAcentral.
GGAAAUGAUUUCAGGCGAUUCUUGAUUCCUGUUCUCGGCCAGACACCGUUCUAGGCUUUUCAUGUUAUUGCUUUCAAAUUGCACAAAAAGCCCGGCACGGAUCUCAUUGUAAUCAUCUUUUUGUCCACAGGAAACUGAGGUUCAGGGAGGCUCAUUAAGCAACCCAGCGACGUGCUUUUUGGAGAGCGGGCAUUUAGGCAUCGCCUGUCUUUGUCUCCAUCCUCUUCUUCCAGCAGGGACCUCUGAUUUUUGCUCGGAGAUCCACUGUUUCCCCCCGCUCCUUGUUGCUGUUGUUCGUGGAACUAAAUCCAUCUGCAGCUUGUGUGUUUUUCGGGUCUCAGGCAAGGGCUCCUGGAGGCUGUUCAAUUUCUUGGCCAUCUUACCAUCCAGAAGGGCGAGCCUGCUGAGGAUGAAGCUGAUAGAAGCCGGAAGAAUCUAGCAGCUGGAUCUCCACCGUCAUCACUUCCCUUUAAGACAAGAGUUUCUCUCCGUUCUGUGUCUUCCGAUUUAUUCGAGUAUUACUUUCACUUUUCUUUUUUUUGUCUGCCCCGAGGCAUAUGGAGUUCCCGGGCCAGCAGUCCGAUCCAAGCCACGGUUCCCUGUAACCAUGGCAACGCCAGAUCCUUAACACACUGUGCAGGGCGGGGGAUCGAACUUGCGUCUCACACUCCAGAGGCAUUGCCGAUCCCGCUAUACCACAGCUGGAGCGCCUCCUUCCACCUUAGUGAAUGUGACAAACCAGAGCAAAGGCAACCACGUAAUCCUCUCGUCUGGCUCUCACCUUUGGAUGAACAUGCACUUGACUCUGAAGAUGUGACUUCUCUUCCUCCCAUGACCUUUUGCACCUAGUUGUAGGCUGUCCCACAGGUGCAGUCUUAGACUGCAGAAAGCUGCUUUCUGUCAAGAGCGUGGUUCUUGAAAUGGCUCACACUCCCUUUGCUGUUGUAUAUCUGAAUUUACCACUGAAAAGCUUUGAUCUCUGCCUUGAAGAAGGAGUUUUUAGCAUCUCUCUGUAGCCUUUAUCUAUCACAUUGAACCUUGGUUUUAUUUUUAUUUUUCUCUGUUUUUUUCUUUUUUUGUUGUUUAUUUGUUUGUUUUGCUUUUUUUUUUUAGGGCCACAGCUUUGGCAUCUGGAAGUUCCCAGGCUAGGGGUCGAAUCAGAGCUGCAGCUGCCUGCCUACACCACAGCCAUAGCAAUGCAGGACCCAAGCCUCGCCUGCAACCUAUACCACAGCUCAUGGCAAUGCUGGAUCCUUCACCCACUGAGCAAGGCCAGGGAUCGAACCCGCAUCCUCAUGGACACUAGUCGGAUUCGUUUCCUCUGAGCCACAACAGGAACUCCUGGGCCUUGGUUUUCUGCUUGGCUUUUCUCCCUGACUGCACCCCGAGUGUCUCCAGGUCAGAGCCAAUGUUAGUUUUAGAGAUGCUGCAGAGGGCUGAGCAGCGGGCUUAGUCACUCGGGAUUUUGAGGCAAGGGACCUGGAUCUCUGUCCCAGGUCUCUUGCUUUUGCGCUGUCUGGCCUUGGGCAAAUCCCUCUCUUGGGAACUCCUCAUUCCCAGCUGUAAAACGAGGCACUCCAGGAGAAUGCAAGAGCCGUCACCGUGGUUCACGUUUCCUCACUCCUACCCUUCGACAGGAGACUUCAAAACUUCUUCCUUCAAAGCUGGUCUGUUUCUCCGCCCCUUGAGUGGGGACAGCUCUUUUGAUCUGCUUUUGUGCGUAGAGGACAGAGAAAGGGCCAGGGUGUCCAUUUGGAGCUCAAAGUUCUAGAAGACUUACUCACCUCUGCUAGCUCUUGGGGGCCCUGCCUCGGCUCUGAAAUCAGCCCACCAGAGGGCGAGAGCCCACGUGGAGCAGCCGUGACUUAUCUUAGGAGAAGUUUCCCGAGACCAGCCAGGUCCCAGCAGACUCUGCAGACUUUGCAGAGCCUGGCAGAGAAGCCACUAGGCUGAGCUCCAUCCCAACAAAUAGCUGUGCUUUGAACCACUAAGUGUGGAGCUGGUUGGCAAUGCAGCCCAAGUGCAUCGCUCACGUCUCAGACGAUCGGGAGGAACAAAUGAGCUUGUGCACGUGAGGGUUUAGCAACUGGAGCAGCAUCCUUGCAUCCUGCCCUUCUCGUUCUCAGGUCCCCUCCUUACACCAGGGGACUCAUACCUCCCCUGGGAACCCAGGACAGAGGCAGAUGAGGCCACAUCAGCUCCUCCCUCUGAUGCCUGGGGCUGCUCCUGUCUUUUAGGGAAUUUCAGACCUUUUGUCAACUCCAGACUCUAGUAAUUGCUCAGUCCUUAAUAGCUACUUUGUUGGACUGAUUGAUUUCUCCCAAAUCCCUGCCUAUUUUUCUUUCUUUCUUUCUUCUUCUUCUUCUUCUUCUUCUUUUUUUUUUUUUUUGCUUUUUGGGGCCGCAUCUGUGGCAUAUGGAAGUUCCCAGGCUAGGGGUCCAGGUGGCAGCUGCCAGCCUACACCACAGCCACAGCAAUGCCAGAUCCAAGCCGUAUCUGCUACCUAUGCCGCAGCUCACAGCAACACCAGACCGUGAACCCACUGAGCGAGGCCAGGUAUCGAACCUGCAUCCUCACGGAUACAAUGUCAAAUUCUUAACCCAGGACAGGAAUUCCUAAAUAAGCUUUCUGGAAUGAAAAUGAAAAUCUUUUCUUCCAGUCUCCAAAAAAAUGUGAUUGGUGCCUUGUGAUCUUCCCGGGGCAAAUUGGGGAAGAGCCUGAAGAGGAUCCAGAACGCCUUUGAGGACCCAUUUGAACAGAGGUUCACAAAGGAACAUUUUGACGGAUGGACAGUAGCAGCCAUGAGACUUGAAAUGUGAUCACUGGCACUUACUUCCUUGAGGUUCCUGCCACCAACAUCUGAAGAGUCCUGGGUGAUGGUCCAGGACAGGCCAGGUGGAGCUAAGAGGAGCCAUUGCAGCCUUACCCUGCCAUGAGAGAGUCCAGCCAAGACCAGAAAACCCACCCAGGUACCAUAGCCCAAAUUGCUGACCCACAGAAUAAUGAAUGAAAUAAACGGUUGUUGAUU